ACGUAGGCAGCAAGCGUUGUUCGGAGUUACUGGGCGUAAAGAGUGCGUAGGCGGUUCUCUAAGUUUGGUGUGAAAUCUCCCGGCUUAACCGGGAGGGUGCGCCGAAGACUGGGGAGCUUGAGUAUGGGAGAGGUAAGCGGAAUUCCUGGUGUAGCGGUGAAAUGCGUAGAUAUCAGGAGGAACACCUGUGGUGUAGACGGCUUACUGGACCAUCACUGACGCUGAGGCACGAAAGCGUGGGUAGCAAACAG
This 251-nucleotide ribosomal RNA is filed under the name uncultured prokaryote. Its description in RNAcentral is "partial 16S ribosomal RNA". It matches the Rfam family "Bacterial small subunit ribosomal RNA", at positions 525 to 775 of the family's 1533-position model. The record is from RNAcentral.